AAGGUGUUAGUUUAACGGUAUAAUAAAGAGCUACGGACUCUUAAAUGUAAGUUCGAAUCUUGCACCACCUUC
Diatrype stigma is the source of this 72-nucleotide non-coding RNA. The record is from the annotation of a GenBank genome assembly. Lineage: Eukaryota; Fungi; Ascomycota; Sordariomycetes; Xylariales; Diatrypaceae.